UGGGGAAUUUUGGACAAUGGGCGAAAGCCUGAUCCAGCAAUGCCGCGUGUGUGAAGAAGGCCUUCGGGUUGUAAAGCACUUUUGUCCGGAAAGAAAUCCUUGGCUCUAAUACAGUCGGGGGAUGACGGUACCGGAAGAAUAAGCACCGGCUAACUACGUGCCAGCAGCCGCGGUAAUACGUAGGGUGCAAGCGUUAAUCGGAAUUACUGGGCGUAAAGCGUGCGCAGGCGGUUUGCUAAGACCGAUGUGAAAUCCCCGGGCUCAACCUGGGAACUGCAUUGGUGACUGGCAGGCUAGAGUAUGGCAGAGGGGGGUAGAAUUCCACGUGUAGCAGUGAAAUGCGUAGAGAUGUGGAGGAAUACCGAUGGCGAAGGCAGCCCCCUGGGCCAAUACUGACGCUCAUGCACGAAAGCGUGGGGAGCAAACAGGAUUAGAUACCCUGGUAGUCCACGCCCUAAACGAUGUCAACUAGUUGUUGGGGAUUCAUUUCCUAGUAACGUAGCUAACGCGUGAAGUUGACCGCCUGGGGAGUACGGUCGCAAGAUUAAAACUUAAAGGAAUUGACGGGGU
Molecule: ribosomal RNA, 570 nt
Filed under: uncultured bacterium
Lineage: Bacteria
Description: partial 16S ribosomal RNA
Rfam family: Bacterial small subunit ribosomal RNA
Source: RNAcentral